Molecule: long non-coding RNA, 743 nt
Organism: Venturia canescens
Lineage: Eukaryota; Metazoa; Arthropoda; Insecta; Hymenoptera; Ichneumonidae
Exons: 3
Source: RefSeq, a predicted model, not a curated record
UAAAAAAUGAAUCAACACUCCAUCUGAGGAACUCCAUCCCAUCAGUACUCCUUGUGGAUUGAAAAUUUAUUCUUAAAAUAGAGAGAAAGAGGGCGCUGAAAAAACUGCAUCUGGAUUCCUUCGCCCUAUACGUUGGUACGGACGUGCAACGUACAGGGUCAAUAUGCCAACGAACGGUCUCGGUAUAAACGCAAAUGCAGGGGAUGAAAAAUAAUACAAAUAACAUGCGCAUAUGGAGCGAUGCAAAAGUCGGGAGAGAAAACGUAUAAUAUAAUACCAGCUAACGCUUCAGCGCCUCGAGCUUUCAAAAAGAUCCUCUUCAUCCCCAGAUGUUCGGAGCAACGACUAGGAGAGAGUAAAGGAGAAUGUCGAAUAAAAAAGACGCUUGAACGAUUUUCGAGAGGACUUGAAGAGGACGGGACGUUACGGAUUCCCACUGUGUUCCUUGGGCGAAUGUCCCAAGACUGGAAGACGCAUGCAGAGGGGAAACGAAGGGAGGAAAAGACGCCAAGUCAGAGCGAGAGAUAUUCCGGUGGCUUCUCAUGGCGGCAUUUUCGCAUACGUAUAGAGCGAAAUAUCGAAGAGAAGAUAUUAGCAGACAGACCGUUAUGCCACCACUGAGAAGUUACGGCUUCUGAUUGUGAGAGUGCCUGUCCGGAAGCUCCAAGAGAGGCUCGCAAGCUGAUUCGUACUCUGAUAAUAUAUUGCCCUGGGACCCUCUCCCUGAAGCGGUAAGGCCCUUG